Oncorhynchus tshawytscha (Chinook salmon) is the source of this 633-nucleotide long non-coding RNA. Lineage: Eukaryota; Metazoa; Chordata; Actinopteri; Salmoniformes; Salmonidae. The record is from Ensembl.
CAGCAGAGGAUGUCAUGACAGGUCAUCUCUACAGACCCAACAGAGAAUGUCAUGACAGGUCAUCUGUACAGACCCCACAGAGGAUGUCAUGACAGGUCAUCUCUACAGACCCAGCAGAGGAUAUCAUGACAGGUCAUCUCUACAGACCCAACAGAGAAUGUCAUGACAGGUCAUCUGUACAGACCCCACAGAGGAUGUCAUGACAGGUCAUCUCUACAGACCCCACAGAGGAUGUCAUGACAGGUCAUCUCUACAGACCCAACAGAGGAUGUCAUGACAGGUCAUCUCUACAGACCCCACAGAGGAUGUCAUGACAGGUCAUCUCUACAGACCCAACAGAGGAUGUCAUGACAGGUCAUCUCUACAGACCCAACAGAGGAUGUCAUGACAGGUCAUCUCUACAGACCCCACAGUGGAUGACAUGACAGGUCAUCUCUACAGACCCAAUAGAGGAUGUCAUGACAGGUCAUCUGUACAGACCCCACAGAGGAUGUCAUGACAGGUCAUCUCUACAGACCCCACAGAGGAUGUCAUGACAGGUCAUCUCUACAGACCCAACAGAGGAUGUCAUGACAGGUCAUCUGUACAGACCCCACAGAGGAUGUCAUGACAGGUCAUCUCUACAGACCCCAC